Molecule: ribosomal RNA, 104 nt
Filed under: Myotis davidii
Lineage: Eukaryota; Metazoa; Chordata; Mammalia; Chiroptera; Vespertilionidae
Source: RNAcentral
GUCUACGGCCAUACCACCCUGAAUGCGCCCGAUCUCAUCUGAUCUCGGAAGCUAAGCAGGGUCGGGCCUGGUUAGUACUUGGAUGGGAAGAAGUUCUUUAGUUU